GACGAACGCUGGCGGCGUGCCUAAUACAUGCAAGUCGAGCGGACGAAUCGAAAGCUUGCUUUUGAUUCGUUAGCGGCGGACGGGUGAGUAACACGUGGGCAACCUGCCCUGUAGACGGGGAUAACACCGAGAAAUCGGUGCUAAUACCGGAUAACACGAAAUGUCGCAUGACGUUUCGUUGAAAGACGGCGCAAGCUGUCGCUACAGGAUGGGCCCGCGGCGCAUUAGCUAGUUGGUGAGGUAACGGCUCACCAAGGCGACGAUGCGUAGCCGACCUGAGAGGGUGAUCGGCCACACUGGGACUGAGACACGGCCCAGACCCCUACGGGAGGCAGCAGUAGGGAAUCUUCCGCAAUGGACGAAAGUCUGACGGAGCAACGCCGCGUGAGCGAAGAAGGCCUUCGGGUCGUAAAGCUCUGUUGUUAGGGAAGAACAAGUAACGCAGUAACUGGCGUUACCGUGACGGUACCUAACGAGAAAGCCACGGCUAACUACGUG
RNAcentral lists this ribosomal RNA (498 nucleotides) under uncultured bacterium. RNAcentral's name for it is "partial 16S ribosomal RNA". It matches the Rfam family "Bacterial small subunit ribosomal RNA", at positions 28 to 507 of the family's 1533-position model. The record is from RNAcentral.